This 510-nucleotide ribosomal RNA is filed under the name uncultured bacterium. RNAcentral describes it as "bacterial SSU rRNA". It matches the Rfam family "Bacterial small subunit ribosomal RNA", at positions 15 to 518 of the family's 1533-position model. The record is from RNAcentral.
GAUCCUGGCUUAGGAUGAACGCUAGCGACAGGCUAACACAUGCAAGUCGAGGGGCAGCAUAGAAGUAGCAAUACUUUGGUGGCGACCGGCGCACGGGUGAGUAACGCGUAUGCAACCUACCUAUCAGAGGGGAAUAACCCGGCGAAAGUCGGACUAAUACCGCAUAAAACAGGGGCACCGCAUGGUGAUAUUUGUUAAAGAAAUUCGCUGAUAGAUGGGCAUGCGUUCCAUUAGGUAGUUGGUGAGGUAACGGCUCACCAAGCCGACGAUGGAUAGGGGAACUGAGAGGUUGGUCCCCCACACUGGUACUGAGACACGGACCAGACUCCUACGGGAGGCAGCAGUGAGGAAUAUUGGUCAAUGGGCGGGAGCCUGAACCAGCCAGGUCGCGUGAAGGAAGAAGGAUCUAUGGUUCGUAAACUUCUUUUGCAGGGGAAUAAAGUGCAGGACGUGUCCUGUUUUGUAUGUACCCUGAGAAUAAGGAUCGGCUAACUCCGUGCCAGCCGCGGC